UGGGGAAUAUUGCACAAUGUGCGCAAGCCUGAUGCAGCCAUGCCGCGUGUGUGAAGAAGGCCUUCGGGUUGUAAAGCACUUUCAGCGGGGAGGAAGGCGGUGAGGUUAAUAACCUCAUCGAUUGACGUUACCCGCAGAAGAAGCACCGGCUAACUCCGUGCCAGCAGCCGCGGUAAUACGGAGGGUGCAAGCGUUAAUCGGAAUUACUGGGCGUAAAGCGCACGCAGGCGGUCUGUCAAGUCGGAUGUGAAAUCCCCGGGCUCAACCUGGGAACUGCAUUCGAAACUGGCAGGCUAGAGUCUUGUAGAGGGGGGUAGAAUUCCAGGUGUAGCGGUGAAAUGCGUAGAGAUCUGGAGGAAUACCGGUGGCGAAGGCGGCCCCCUGGACAAAGACUGACGCUCAGGUGCGAAAGCGUGGGUAGCAAACAGG
This 429-nucleotide ribosomal RNA is filed under the name Chloroflexota bacterium. Its description in RNAcentral is "Chloroflexi bacterium partial 16S ribosomal RNA". It matches the Rfam family "Bacterial small subunit ribosomal RNA", at positions 355 to 776 of the family's 1533-position model. The record is from RNAcentral. Lineage: Bacteria; Bacillati; Chloroflexota.